This 497-nucleotide ribosomal RNA is filed under the name uncultured bacterium. RNAcentral describes it as "partial 16S ribosomal RNA". It matches the Rfam family "Bacterial small subunit ribosomal RNA", at positions 28 to 507 of the family's 1533-position model. The record is from RNAcentral.
GAUGAACGCUGGCGGCGUGCCUAAUACAUGCAAGUCGAGCGAACAGACGAGGAGCUUGCUCCUCUGACGUUAGCGGCGGACGGGGGAGUAACACGUGGAUAACCUACCUAUAAGACUGGGAUAACUACGGGAAAACGGAGCUAAUACCGGAUAAUAUAUUGAACCGCAUGGUUCAAUAGUGAAAGACGGUUUUGCUGUCACUUAUAGAUGGAUCCGCGCCGCAUUAGCUAGUUGGUAAGGUAACGGCUUACCAAGGCAACGAUGCGUAGCCGACCUGAGAGGGUGGUCGGCCACCCUGGAACUGAUCCACCGUCCCCCCUCCUACGAGAGGCAGCAGUAGGGAAUCUUCCGCAAUGGUCGAAAGCCUGACGGAGCAACGCCGCGUGAGUGAUGAAGGUCUUCUGAUCGUAAAACUCUGUUAUUAGGGAAGAACAAAUGUGUCAGUAACUAUGCACGUCUUGACGGUACCUAAUCAGAAAGCCACGGCUAACUACGUG